Molecule: ribosomal RNA, 497 nt
Filed under: uncultured bacterium
Lineage: Bacteria
Description: partial 16S ribosomal RNA
Rfam family: Bacterial small subunit ribosomal RNA
Source: RNAcentral
GAUGAACGCUGGCGGCGUGCCUAAUACAUGCAAGUCGAGCGAACAGACGAGGAGCUUGCUCCUCUGACGUUAGCGGCGGACGGGUGAGUAACACGUGGAUAACCUACCUAUAAGACUGGGAUAACUUCGGGAAACCGGAGCUAGUACCGGAUAAUAUAUUGAACCGCAUGGUUCAAUAGUGAAAGACGGUUUUGCUGUCACUUAUAGAUGGAUCCGCGCCGCAUUAGCUAGUUGGUAAGGUAACGGCUUACCAAGGCAACGAUGCGUAGCCGACCUGAGAGGGUGAUCGGCCACACUGAAACUGAGACACGGUCCAGACUCCUACGGGAGGCAGCAGUAGGGAAUCUUCCGCAAUGGGCGAAAGCCUGACGGAGCAACGCCGCGUGAGUGAUGAAGGUCUUCGGAUCGUAAAACUCUGUUAUUAGGGAAGAACAAAUGUGUAAGUAACUAUGCACGUCUUGACGGUACCUAAUCAGAAAGCCACGGCUAACUACGUG